Small nuclear RNA from Bison bison bison, 107 nucleotides. NCBI's taxonomy places the organism in Eukaryota, Metazoa, Chordata, Mammalia, Artiodactyla, Bovidae. The record is from Ensembl.
UUGCUCAUUUCAACAGCACAUAUAUGCUAAAAUUGGGGUGAUACAGAGAAGAUUAGCAUGGUCCCUGCACAAAGAUGACAAAACUUCAUGAAAUGUUCCAAAUUUGA